RNAcentral lists this ribosomal RNA (245 nucleotides) under uncultured bacterium. RNAcentral describes it as "partial 16S rRNA". It matches the Rfam family "Bacterial small subunit ribosomal RNA", at positions 505 to 749 of the family's 1533-position model. The record is from RNAcentral.
GUGCCAGCCGCCGCGGUAAUACGUAGGUGGCAAGCGUUGUCCGGAUUUAUUGGGCGUAAAGGAUGCGUAGGCGGAUAUUUAAGUGUGAUGUGAAAUCCCCGGGCUUAACCUGGGGGCUGCAUUGGAAACUGGAUGUCUAGAGUGCAGGAGAGGAAAGCGGAAUUCCUAGUGUAGCGGUGAAAUGCGUAGAGAUUUGGAGGAAUACCAGUGGCGAAGGCGGCUUUCUGGACUGUAACUGACGCUGA